RNAcentral lists this ribosomal RNA (501 nucleotides) under uncultured bacterium. RNAcentral describes it as "partial 16S ribosomal RNA". It matches the Rfam family "Bacterial small subunit ribosomal RNA", at positions 28 to 523 of the family's 1533-position model. The record is from RNAcentral.
GAUGAACGCUAGCGGCAGGCCUAACACAUGCAAGUCGAGGGGCAGCACAGAAACAGCAAUGUUUUGGUGGCGACCGGCGGACGGGUGCGUAACGCGUAUGCAACCUACCUUUAACAGGGGGAUAACGGAGAGAAAUUUCCACUAAUACCCCAUAACAUCGAUCAAGGCAUCUUGAUUGGUUGAAAACUCCGGUGGUUAAAGAUGGGCAUGCGUUGUAUUAGGUAGUUGGUGAGGUAAUGGCUCACCAAGCCUACGAUACAUAGGGGGACUGAGAGGUUAGCCCCCCACACUGGUACUGAGACACGGACCAGACUCCUACGGGAGGCAGCAGUGAGGAAUAUUGGUCAAUGGGGACAACCCUGAACCAGCCAUGCCGCGUGCAGGAAGACGGCUCUAUGAGUUGUAAACCGCUUUAAACAGGGAUAAAGCACAGUAUGUAUACUGUGUUGAAGGUACUGUAAGAAUAAGGAUCGGCUAACUCCGUGCCAGCCGCCGCGGUAA